Molecule: ribosomal RNA, 348 nt
Filed under: Triticum aestivum (bread wheat)
Lineage: Eukaryota; Viridiplantae; Streptophyta; Magnoliopsida; Poales; Poaceae
Description: partial small subunit ribosomal RNA
Source: RNAcentral
AUGUGGCUACGGAUGUUGCAACCCCAGCCACUGUGCUGGAACGUCGGCGACGAUGUGACACAGAGAGAGAUGCUGGAUCCGACCAUGGUCAGAGCAGCAACUACUAGCUUUUUUGCAACCCAUGCGAGACCAGUGCUACAACCGCUAUUUUUUUUGCUAGCACCGGCGGUGAUUUUUGCUGGAACCAGCGAGGGAUUUUGCUGCAUCCUGCAUCUGUUUUUGCUGGAAACUAGCCUUCAUUUUUUUUUGCUACCAUCGGCUUUGUGUUUUUGCUGGAACCGGCAUAUUACUUUGCUGGAAGUAGCUUAUUAUUUUGCUACAAUCGACCCUGGAGUUUUUCCCUACUAA